UACGUAGGCAGCAAGCGUUGUUCGGAAUUACUGGGCGUAAAGAGUGUGUAGGCGGUGUCGUAAGUUUGGCGUGAAAUCUCCCGGCUUAACUGGGAGGGUGCGCCGAAGACUGCGGUGCUUGAGGAUCGGAGAGGAAAGUGGAAUUUCUGGUGUAGCGGUGAAAUGCGUAGAUAUCAGAAGGAACACCUGUGGUGUAGACGGCUUUCUGGACGAUUCCUGACGCUGAGACACGAAAGCGUGGGGAGCAAACAGG
RNAcentral lists this ribosomal RNA (253 nucleotides) under uncultured bacterium. Its description in RNAcentral is "partial 16S ribosomal RNA". It matches the Rfam family "Bacterial small subunit ribosomal RNA", at positions 524 to 776 of the family's 1533-position model. The record is from RNAcentral.